ACUCAAAGGAAUUGACGGGGGCUCACACAAGCGGUGGAGCAUGUGGCUCAAUUCGAAGCAACGCGAAGAACCUUACCUAGGCUUGACAUGCACGGAUUAACUCCUUGAAAGAGGAGCCACGCCCUUUGGGUGGAACGUGCACAGGUGCUGCAUGGCUGUCGUCAGCUCGUGCUGUGAAGUGUCGGGUUAAGUCCCUCAACGAGCGAAACCCCUGUCGUUAGUUGCUAACGGGUAAUGCCGAGGACUCUAACGAGACUGCCGGUGUCAAACCGGAGGAAGGUGGGGAUGACGUCAAGUCCUCAUGGCCUUUAUGCCUAGGGCUGCACACGUGCUACAAUGGCGCUGACAGAACGAUGCAAGACUGCAAAGUGGAGCAAAACGCUCAAAAAGCGCCCCAGUUCGGAUUGGAGGCUGCAAUUCGCCUCCAUGAAGUUGGAAUCGCUAGUAAUCGCGGAUCAGCUACGCCGCGGUGAAUAAGUUCCUGAGCCUUGCACACACCGCCCGU
This 505-nucleotide ribosomal RNA is filed under the name uncultured bacterium. RNAcentral's name for it is "partial 16S ribosomal RNA". It matches the Rfam family "Bacterial small subunit ribosomal RNA", at positions 899 to 1397 of the family's 1533-position model. The record is from RNAcentral.